GACGAACGCUGGCGGCGUGCCUAAUACAUGCAAGUAGAGCGCUGAAGGAGGAGCUUGCUUCUCUGGAUGAGUUGCGAACGGGUGAGUAACGCGUAGGUAACCUGCCUGGUAGCGGGGGAUAACUAUUGGAAACGAUAGCUAAUACCGCAUAAUAGUAGAUGUUGCAUGACAUUUGCUUAAGAGGUGCAAUUGCAUCACUACCAGAUGGACCUGCGUUGUAUUAGCUAGUUGGUGGGGUAACGGCUCACCAAGGCGACGAUACAUAGCCGACCUGAGAGGGUGAGCGGCAACACUGGGACGGGGACAUGGCCCAGACUCCUACGGGAGGCAGCAGGAGGGAAUCUUCAGCAAUGGACGGAAGUCUGACCGAGCAACGCCGCGUGAGUGCAGAAGGUUUUCGGAUCGUAAAGCUCUGUUGUGAGAGAAGAUCGAGUGUGAGAGUGGCAAGUGCACACUGUGACGGUAUCUUACCAGAAAGGUACGGCUAACUACGUG
RNAcentral lists this ribosomal RNA (495 nucleotides) under uncultured bacterium. Its description in RNAcentral is "partial 16S ribosomal RNA". It matches the Rfam family "Bacterial small subunit ribosomal RNA", at positions 28 to 507 of the family's 1533-position model. The record is from RNAcentral.